CCCGUCGUGGCCCGAGUGGUAAGGGCGCCGUGCUGAUGACACGGAAGCAGCAGGUUCGACUCCUGCCGACGGGAC
This 75-nucleotide transfer RNA is filed under the name Virgisporangium ochraceum. RNAcentral describes it as "tRNA-Ile". It matches the Rfam family "tRNA". From Rfam's summary of the family: Transfer RNA (tRNA) molecules are approximately 80 nucleotides in length. Their secondary structure includes four short double-helical elements and three loops (D, anti-codon, and T loops). Further hydrogen bonds mediate the characteristic L-shaped molecular structure. tRNAs have two regions of fundamental functional importance: the anti-codon, which is responsible for specific mRNA codon recognition, and the 3' end, to which the tRNAs corresponding amino acid is attached (by aminoacyl-tRNA synthetases). tRNAs cope with the degeneracy of the genetic code in two manners: having more than one tRNA (with a specific anti-codon) for a particular amino acid; and 'wobble' base-pairing, i.e. permitting non-standard base-pairing at the 3rd anti-codon position. The record is from RNAcentral. Lineage: Bacteria; Bacillati; Actinomycetota; Actinomycetes; Micromonosporales; Micromonosporaceae.